RNAcentral lists this long non-coding RNA (1777 nucleotides) under Sus scrofa (pig). RNAcentral's name for it is "lncRNA (ENSSSCG00035065176.1)". Lineage: Eukaryota; Metazoa; Chordata; Mammalia; Artiodactyla; Suidae. The record is from RNAcentral.
GGCCCCGUUCUGAACCAGUUGACCAAAAAUCCCGAGCAAAGCGCUCCAGUGAGAGGAGGGAGAGACAGCUGUCAGCUGGAGCUGCUGAAUGCAGCGCGAAGGAUGGAAGGAUGCUGAUUUGAGCUGGGCGUGAUUUGGAAGAUCCAGAGAAGGACAUUCCAGGUCCCGGACAGCCAAAGCGAAGUCUCACAGGAUUCUGCCCUGCCCUUCAGCUCUGCAUCUGAUGGCCAGCAUCUGGGGGAUCUUGUUUUCCUAAGAUUGUUGGAAUUCCUGUUAUCAUCAUAUGAAGUCUUCCCCUGGCGUCAUCAGCUUCCUGUAUCCAGGAGCUGUUCUAACUAAGGAACCUCAGUGCAGACACCUGAAUAUCACAUUCUCUGCCUGAAGAAUUCUCCGAUCUUGGUAGAGUGUGGACCCUUUUGAGAUCUUGCUUUUUGGCAUGAUCAUUUCUGACAUACCUCUGUGUCCAUUGGUGUAAUUUUUUGUUUUUGGAAACAGACUGAGCUGCUUCUGCCCAGAGCCAUCAAGGCUGUACCUGAAACUGUCUCCUGACCUUGGAGUGCUCAAGUUCACAUGGACUCUCCACUUUGUUCUGGAGAUAUGUGGGCUCCGGCUCAGGCAGCAUCAAGACAAGCCAGGCCUGCAGACCUCCCCAAGGGACAAAAGCCCUCCUCCUCACCCACGAAGGUGGGCUCAUCCUGCUGGAUAUGAGACCUUCCCUUUACCUCUGCUAUCUUUUCUCUGUGUAAGAUUCACAUGACUCCCGCUCAGUCAUGGAUGUGGGCACGCCUCCGUGCCCGGGACCUCCACCGUCUCUUCCCCAGUCCUGCUGCAACUGCUCCGUAGCCCAGGCCCCACGACAUAACCGUCCCUGUGGCAGCAGCUGGUAGAUAAGACCAAAGGAUAUGACCAAAGAUUGGAAGGGUUAGGCCUCUCAGGAGGAUUGCCCCAGGGGCACGAUGCUGGCAGGUUAUGAGAACGAGAUGCCUCAGGGUAAGGACCCAGCCUUCACUUACUAAUCCUGUAAAUGAUGGAGAAGGGAAAGCCAGCGUUUAAAAAUAUCCCACCACGGAGUUCCCGUUGUGGCACAAUGGGAUUGGCAGCAUCUUGGGAGCUCUGGGACACAGGUUCUGUCCCAGCCCGGCACAGUGGGUUAAGAAUCCAGGGUUGCCGAAGCUGUGGCUUAGGUUGCAACUGCGGCUCAGAUCAGAUCCCUGGCCUGGGAACUCCAUAUGCUGCAAGGCAGCCAAAAACAGAAAACAAACGAAAACUAUAUAUGUGUGUGUGUGUGUGUGUGUGUACAAAUCCCACUGCUUGCUCCAUGAGUCCCCUAAAAUGAAGAUAAGACUCCAGCCAAGAAAUUAAGUUGAUUUGGGAAAAACUAAAAAUCCCUCCUUGGUGUUAUAACUUCAAGUUCAGUUUACUGUUAUUAUGUAGUGCUUUCUAGCAAUAUUUUCCCAUUUAUAUUAUUUUUAAAAGAAAUGGAAUUUCCCUGGUGGCCUAACAGGUUAAGGAUCCCGCAUUGUCACUGCUGUGGAUAAGUGACAAUGCUGUGGUGUGGGUUUGACCCUUGGCCCAGGAACUUCUGCAUACCAUGUCCAAAAAAGCCCAUUAUUGCCUUAGAGAUUUCCAAUUAUCUCUCCAGUUUGAUUAACAAAAACUGGUUAAUUAGGUUUCACUGUAUGAGCUAAGGAGUUUCAUUAUUCUGUUUGCCUAAAAUCUAAAAUUUGUACUACAUAUUUGCAUAUAUAUAUCUUACAUAUAUGUAUUUGUAUAUUUG